GAUGAAGAACGCAGCGAAAUGCGAUAAGUAAUGUGAAUUGCAGAAUUCAGUGAAUCAUCGAAUCUUUGAACGCACAUUGCGCCCCUUGGUAUUCCGAGGAGCAUGCCUGUUCGAGCGUCAUUAUAACCCCUCAAGCUCAGCUUGGUGUUGGGGCCUGCCGCACGGGCAGCCCUUAAAAUCAGUGGCGGUGCCAUCUGGCUCUAAGCGUAGUAAUUCUUCUCGCUAUAGAGUCCCGGUGGAUGCUUGCCAUUAACCCCCAAUUUUCUAUGGUUGACCUCGGAUCAGGUAGGGAUACCCGCUGAACUUAAGCAUAUCAAUAAGCGGAGGA
RNAcentral lists this unclassified non-coding RNA (328 nucleotides) under soil metagenome. Its description in RNAcentral is "partial contains 5.8S ribosomal RNA, internal transcribed spacer 2, and large subunit ribosomal RNA". The stretch from base 1 to 120 matches the Rfam family "5.8S ribosomal RNA", at positions 35 to 154 of the family's 154-position model. The record is from RNAcentral.